AUUGAACGCUGGCGGCAGGCCUAACACAUGCAAGUCGAACGGUAACAGGGAUCAGCUUGCUGAUUCGCUGACGAGUGGCGGACGGGUGAGUAAUGUCUGGGAAACUGCCUGAUGGAGGGGGAUAACUACUGGAAACGGUAGCUAAUACCGCAUAACGUCGCAAGACCAAGGAGGGGGACCUUCGGGCCUCUUGCCAUCGGAUGUGCCCAGAUGGGAUUAGCUAGUAGGUGGGGUAACGGCUCACCUAGGCGACGAUCCCUAGCUGGUCUGAGAGGAUGACCAGCCACACUGGAACUGAGACACGGUCCAGACUCCUACGGGAGGCAGCAGUGGGGAAUAUUGCACAAUGGGCGCAAGCCUGAUGCAGCCAUGCCGCGUGUAUGAAGAAGGCCCUCGGGUUGUAAAGUACUUUCAGCGGGGAGGAAGGGAGUAAAGUUAAUACCUUUGCUCAUUGACGUUACCCGCAGAAGAAGCACCGGCUAACUCCGUG
Molecule: ribosomal RNA, 490 nt
Filed under: uncultured bacterium
Lineage: Bacteria
Description: partial 16S ribosomal RNA
Rfam family: Bacterial small subunit ribosomal RNA
Source: RNAcentral